This 735-nucleotide ribosomal RNA is filed under the name Triticum aestivum (bread wheat). Its description in RNAcentral is "partial small subunit ribosomal RNA". Lineage: Eukaryota; Viridiplantae; Streptophyta; Magnoliopsida; Poales; Poaceae. The record is from RNAcentral.
AUGGCCAAUGUAAUGGUGACCACACGGUGUUUUAUAGACACACUAAUAAGAAGAUCACCAUUGUUGCAGUGUGUUGAUGAUAUCAUCAUCACUGGAGAUGAUGAGGAGGAAAUAAAGAGAGUGAAGGGGUGUGUGAGCAAGGAGUUUGAGGUAAAAGACUUAGGAAAUCUAAAGUACUUCCUUGGCAUAGAAGUGGCCCGGACAGAGAAGGGAAUAUCUUUGUGCCAACGAAAAUACACCUUGAAUCUUUUGAGUGACAUGGGCAUGAUGGGAUGUCGUGCAGCCCCUACUCCAAUUGAACAAAAUCAUCAAGUAACAGCACAAUCAGGUGAGCUAGUGAAUAAGGAAGAUUAUCAGAAGCUGGUUGGGAGGUUAUUGUACUUGUGUCAUACUAGGCCUGACAUUACGUAUGCCGUGGGGGUGGUGAGCAGAUACAUGCAUGAACCAAGGAGAGGGCAUCUUGAUAUUGUUCACAGAAUCCUGAGAUACUUGAAGGGGACUCCGGGUAAAGGGUUGUGGUUUGCGAAGAGUGGACAUCUUGAGGUGGAUGGCUAUAGUGACUCUGAUUGGGCUAGCUGUCAAGAUGAUAGACGAUCAACUUCAGGUUACUGUGUGUUUGUGGGAGGAAAUUUGGUGUCAUGGAGAAGCAAGAAACAGAAUGUUGUGUCUAGAUCAACAGCAGAAGCUGAAUAUAGAGCAUUAUCUCAAGGGUUGUGUGAUAUGCUCUGGGUGAAG